Calidris pygmaea (Spoon-billed sandpiper) is the source of this 1138-nucleotide long non-coding RNA. NCBI's taxonomy places the organism in Eukaryota, Metazoa, Chordata, Aves, Charadriiformes, Scolopacidae. The record is from Ensembl.
AUUCAAUGACUCAGAUUAACUAGACACUUGGCCAGUGUCGAGCCCCAGGCUGAAGGUUGGAGAGAGGCUAGUCCCCAGACAAAUGAUGCAUGGAAUUUGUAUCUGUGGGUUGCCAUGCCAACGCCGAGCACGAAUUGCUCAAGAUUCAGCAGGACUUGGCAGGGACCUUUUUGCUUCCCAGAGACCCACUGACAGUUUCAACAUGGGAGAGUAUGGUGUCAAGAUAACAGUCAUAUCAUCAGUCAUUGCAGAACAUCUACGUGGGCUGCCAAGAAAAUGAGACUCUUUUAUCUCUGGCUCCUCUAAGUGCUUGUGUUUCAGUGAUUGUUUCUCAUAACGUGCCUGAUUGUUUUCUGAAACCUGACCGUCAGCAGCUCCAUUAUGUUGUCACCUCAACCCAAGCGAGUUGCAGGCUGUCAAGGAAGCGGGGCUGCCCGGAGGAGCCGGGGUAAGGCUGCGGGGGGAGUGUCUUCCAGAGGCGCUGGGAAAACGGUGCUUAGAAAGUAGCAAAAGAGAGAGGCUGGAAGUUGAACCACAGGCAAACAUUGAAGAAUCCGUCAGAGGUGCAUUGCACCACGCUGUUUUUCUGUGACCUUUCAAAUCAAAAGGUUUUUGGUAUUAGUCAGAUAGGAUGUGAAAUUUUCCAUUGCAUUAUGUAUUCCUUGCACUUUAAGACAUUCUACAUUUGUAAGAAGCAGGAUGAAUAUUACUUCAAAUAGCAAGUAGGCAGCUAACGACUAAAUCUCAAGGCAUGUUUUGAUGGAACAUAGCCAUGACUUGAACUAUAAACAACAGAAAAUAAGAACACAAUCCUAUUAUUUUAAUGACAUAACUCACCAUUUUAUUGGAGACAAUUUACAGGAGCUUUGAAGUACAUUUAUCUCAUCCAAACAGAACUGACUUAUAGCUAAAUAUAGAGGAUGCAGGGUGUACUUCUGAUUUUAAAGAAAGGUGUUUUGAGUUCUGCAUGUGGCUGCAAAAAAAAUCCCCUGAAAACAGAGAGAUGUCAGUAGUUUCAACACCUGAUGAACACACGUUUGUUUAAGACAGUUAGCCUGCCCAGGUCUCUGUGUCUCCCACACAACAAAGAGAACUGAUGACUGAAAAUAGGACUUCAGUGCUUCUGGAAAUGUCACCC